This 73-nucleotide transfer RNA is filed under the name Hirsutella thompsonii. RNAcentral's name for it is "tRNA-Gln". Lineage: Eukaryota; Fungi; Ascomycota; Sordariomycetes; Hypocreales; Ophiocordycipitaceae. RNAcentral also lists the same sequence under 2 other names. The record is from RNAcentral.
UAUCUUGUUGACUAAUAGGUAAGUCCUAAAUUUUUGGUAUUUAUAUAUGAGUGUUCGAAUCACUCCAAGAUAA